This is an RNA transcript of Cucumis melo (muskmelon), 2054 nucleotides long. It is a transcript of the gene named 2,3-bisphosphoglycerate-dependent phosphoglycerate mutase 1-like, with no coding region annotated. NCBI's taxonomy places the organism in Eukaryota, Viridiplantae, Streptophyta, Magnoliopsida, Cucurbitales, Cucurbitaceae. The transcript has 8 exons. The record is from RefSeq and is a predicted model, not a curated record.
UAAAAAUAAUUUACACGACCAAAAAAGGUAAAAUGAAAUAUUAUAGGAAAAGAUGGGAAUUGGGAAAGGGGUUGUCAUAGGCGUGGGUGAGAGGGAGACAGUAAACCAAACACGAAUUACUCAAAAAAGAAAAGAUUGCGCAUCCUCCGUUCCGGUGUUCUCGGCCCGGGUAUGUAAAACUUUGGCAUUCUACGUUGUACAGAAUCUGCAAAACUUGGUGCCCUCCUAUUUUGGAUCAAAUCUAUUUGCCAUCUCUUUGCUCUUCUACUUCCACUAAAUCGGACCGGCAGCUCAACCAUGAUUUCUCCUGGAUUUCACGACUUCAAUGGACCACUUCAGCUUUGUAAUCACGCCAAUGAUUCAAAUCCUCAUAACAUCUAUGCAUUUUCUCCACCCUUUGUCCGGAGGGGUAAUGAUAAUGACAUUCCUUUGUUUAGAAGAGGGUUUUGUAGUGUAAGAAAUUACAAGCUUUCUGUCGUUUGUGCCAUCCCACAAGCUUCAAUUAAGAACCAUUUUGCACCUAUUUCUCACUUGAAUAUUGAUGAUUCUAAGAACCCUUCAAUUGAAACAGCUCUGAUAUUAAUUCGACAUGGUGAGUCAAUGUGGAACGAGAAGAAUUUAUUCACUGGCUCUGUUGAUGUACCUUUAACAAGGAGAGGUGUAGAGGAAGCAAUUGAAGCUGGUAAGAGGAUUUGCAACAUACCACUAGACUUUGUGUAUACUUCUGCGUUAAUUCGCUCGCAAAUGACAGCUGUGCUUGCUUUGACUCAACAUCGCUGCAAAAAGACAAACUUGUGCUUUCAGGUGCCUAUAAUUAUGCAUGAUUGUAGUAAACAGGCAGAGGCAUGGAGUCAAAUUUACAGUGAUGAGGCUAAAAAGCAAUCAUUUCCUGUUAUUAGAGCUUGGCAAUUGAAUGAAAGAAUGUACGGUGAGCUACAGGGAUGGGAUAAACAGGAGAUUUCCAAAAGAUACGGUAAAGAGCAAGUGCAUGAAUGGCGUCGGAGCUAUGAUAUUCCUCCGCCUGAGGGUGAGAGCUUGGAGAUGUGCUCACAAAGAGCAGUCGGAUAUUUUAAGGAACAUAUUGAACCACAGCUGCAAUCUGGGAAGCAUGUUAUGGUUGCAGCCCAUGCCAAUUCGCUAAGGUGUAUUAUCAUGUAUCUAGAAAAAUUGACUUCUUGCGAGGUAAUUAACUUGGAACUAUCAACUGGGGUACCAUUACUUUACAUAUACAAGGAGGGAUCGUUUAUGAAGCGAGGGAGUCCUGUAGGUCCUUCGGAAGCUGGUGUAUAUGCAUUAACUAAGGCAAGAAUCUUCUACCUCUUCAUUGACCUCAUCUCUUUUAAUAACUGACGUCUCGAUAUUUGCUUGCAAAACUUCAGUAUUCAUUUCAAAUAUUGCUAUGCUAACCAUUUAUUAAAAUUGACCAAAGUGGAGAAAAGAACAAAAUAGUGGCUGUUGUGGUAUAUAUUGAUACGGAAAAUAUCCAUGAAAUAACUAGGGAUCCUUGAUCAAAUGCUGACAUUCAUAUUGGUGCUUUAGGAAGCAUUGACAAACGUCUUAACAUAAGAGGAAAAAAAGCAGAGAACUGGUACAUUUUUCUGUCAGUUUUGCUCCAUCCCAUCACUUGAUCGAUUAACAUCUUUGUUUCUUGGUAUAUUUUGUGCAGAGUUUAGCACUUUACAGGCAAGAGUUGGACGAAAUGUCUUGCUGAAUUCCCUAAAGUUCAGUGAAAUAGGAAACCAGUGGACUCACAGGGGCUUGCUUCUUCUUCUUGUUCUAAAACCAAACGGUUCAUACUAAUUACAAAUUGUUUGUUGCUCGUAUGUGGAGAAGUGAUCUCUGUUUCUGUAGUGUUAUUGAGGUUAUCUGCAGCUGGCUCAAGCACUUCCUGAAAGGACUAGAACAGGAAAAAUAGGUAUUUCACAGAAGCCAUAGAUACAAAUUUUCUUCUUAGUUCAUCUUGAACGCCGUGCACUUGAUUGUAAUUGUUCAUAUCUAUUUUGUUGUAGAGAAACCAAAUUAUAAUUAUGAAUAGUUACUACCCAAUUUGCUAA